Molecule: unclassified non-coding RNA, 148 nt
Filed under: soil metagenome
Description: partial internal transcribed spacer 1
Source: RNAcentral
CCGAGUUUACAACUCCCAAACCCCUGUGAACAUACCACUUGUUGCCUCGGCGGAUCAGCCCGCUCCCGGUAGAACGGGACAGGCCCGCCAGAGGACCCCUAAACUCUGUUUCUAUAUGUAACUUCUGAGUAAAACCAUAAAUAAAUCA